Long non-coding RNA from Triticum aestivum (bread wheat), 2538 nucleotides. RefSeq lists it as uncharacterized. The transcript is spliced from 3 exons. Lineage: Eukaryota; Viridiplantae; Streptophyta; Magnoliopsida; Poales; Poaceae. The record is from RefSeq and is a predicted model, not a curated record.
UGUUAACAACGUUUCUGGCAGAUGGGUGCCGAUGUAAGUGAUGAUGUGGCACUGAAAUCUCACGGUGUUUGGCCUGUACAGUAAGCUGCACAUGGGACCCGCACGUCAGCCUCUAUACUUCCUCCUCCACAAGCGUUGACAGGGGAAAAUAAUCACACCUGCAUCUGACCGGCGCACCACCGGAUUCAGCCGCCGGCCGGCUCGCGAGCCUCCGCCUCCGUGAUCUCCCUCCACCUUGUCUAUCUAUGCUCCUGCACGCGAGCCGCAUCAGCGACCAUGCCCAGGCACGGGGGCGCGAGCAGCAGCGGCGGCAUCGACCAGGCACGGGGGCGCGAGCAGCCACGCAAGGGCACGAGCAAGUGCAGCGGCCACGGCUACGCACGGGGGCGCGAGCAGCAGCAGCAGCAGCCACGCACGGGGGCACGAGCUGCAGCACCGGCCGCGCCCAUGCGCGCGAGCAGCAGCACCGGCCUCGGGACGGGCCGCGAGCAGCAGCACCGGCCGCGCCCGGGCACGCGACCAUCAGCACCGGCCACGCCCGGGCACGCGACCAUCAGCACCGGCCACGCGACGGGCCGCGAGCAGCAGCACUAGCCGUGCCCGGGCACGCGACCAUCAGCAGCGGCCACGCAAGGCGGCUCGAGCUACCGCCUGCUACAGAGUACGGGCACGCCGCAGCGAUGGCAGGAACGCGAACUCUGCCCAGCGUCCCGACUACCCCGUGGGCGCCCUGGUCCGGCGCCGAGAUCCCUCAUGAGGGCCAUCUCCUUCCCCCCUAUUUCGCCGUUGCCCGCGACCUCCCGAGCACCAUGGCCGAGAGCACGAGCUCUUGGUCCGCCCCGCGCCCCGACUACCCCAUGAUCGCCUGGUCCGGCGCCGCCUCUCUGCCUGCGGCCGCGCUACCUCGCACUCAAGUCACUCGCAGCCCAUUCCUACACUGCCACUGGCGAGCUAGGCAGCCGACGGGAUGCCCUCUAGGUGUUUGAGGAAAUUACUCAACAGGACCUAACGUCCGUCUCCUCACUCUGUUUGGCAUAUGCCAGGUUGACCUGACAAUAGGAUCUACCCGUCAGAUUCGUUGUCAAACGGCUCUAAUCAAUCGAUCAGUGUUUUCUGAAAACUGUCAGCACAAUCCUGGCGGUUAUUUGAAAAAAAAUCGAAAGGUGGUGGUUUUUUGAAUUAGGGUCCCCAAUUGUGGUGGUUUUUUGCAAUUUACUCCUUUGAAGGUUUGCUUAUGUUCUCUUUGAUCCUUCCUGAAUGCGAAUAAGAAAAGAAAGUUGAAACAUGUUCACUAAUAUGUGUGCUUUGCAGGCUUUGUUUCCAUGUAGGGAUGUAUUUGAGUGUACACUUACCUGACUUUAUAUAGUGUGUCAUCUUUUGUUUAUGGCUAGAACUGCUGUAUCAAAUGUGCAAAUGGCACCAACAUCAUACAGUGGGCCAUGCCUGAUAGCUAUUGCUGUCAUUUCCCCUCCUGAAAUCAUCCUUUUCCUAUAUGUAGGAGGUUCAGUAAGGUUGCUCACCAAUGAGCUGGGAGUAUUUUUGUCCUGAGUACUUGCAUGAUUGAAGAAGAAAUCAGGUAUUGCUAAAUGUGCUAUUGCAGAUCAAAGGUGAACUCAAACGAUUUUCUUACUUCAAUCUCAGGCAAAGGAGAUGAAGCGCACGCGCAGUGCCAACGCCGCCGCCGCCGCCGCCGGAUUUUCUCUCGAGUCAGGGGAGGUGUUUGGGGGAUCGACUAGGAAGGAUCGAACGGCAGCUGGAGAAGACCUGCACAAGGGUGCCACCAGUCAUUAUGUUCUAGACCAAAUAGAUCGUAAUGCGAUCGAGUUGGAGAGGUGGAUUCAGACAACAGAUUCCUUCACAAAUUCAAAGGCAGAACUCAAAAAAGAAAGGGCAAGGAAAUGAAGGACGCAGGACUACUAGAGGCAAAGACAGACAGACGCGGCCGGAGCACUAUGACGGCUUUGAUGGGCGUGGAGGAGUGCACGAAGACGCUGCGGAGCACUGCUGAGGAGCUUGUCAGCAGGAGUAGCUGCUCCCGCUGCUGCAUCACAACCGCAUCCUGAUCUGCUUCGACAGGUUCAAGCCCUCCGUCACCGGCCGUGUGCACAUCUGGAAGGGUGUUGGAAAGGUGAUCAGUGUGAACAAGAUGGUCAGGGCCGGAUGCAAAGUGAAGAUCCUAAUAGUGGACUAGAGGCCUGGGCUGAAGGACUCCGCAAGAUCAAGGAGCGGCUGGACCACGACAAGGACGUCGGCGGUGGCUUCUCCGCCAUGUGGGAUUAUUGUUUGACCUUUCACAGUUACUUCAGGUGUCCAUAACAUCAAGCAUAAUUUUGGUGCUUCUUAACCUUUUGCAUUCUAUUCUAAUCCUAUGACAGAAGUUUUCUUAAUACUUUUAGUUAUGAAUUUUGUUUUGUGAUCUUCUUCCUGAUUCGAUGUGAUUAGCAUAAUACUAAAUUUGUUGGCUACUAAUUGAUACUUCUGUGUGAUACCUUUAGUGUGUGCUGACCGGAUUAAUCUAAAGUACCAAGAUUUGCUUGU